Hyla sarda is the source of this 1225-nucleotide long non-coding RNA. RefSeq lists it as uncharacterized. NCBI's taxonomy places the organism in Eukaryota, Metazoa, Chordata, Amphibia, Anura, Hylidae. The record is from RefSeq and is a predicted model, not a curated record. The transcript is spliced from 3 exons.
UCUCCAUGCAAGAAUCUUAUAGGGGCUCCUAUACACCAAAAGAGCUUAAUCACAGCCUCUGAAUGGUUCAUCUUUCCCUACUACAAAUACAAAGCCUUUUUUAAGGCUCAUACCUGCAUAUACCUGAAUUGAAUAAUGUUCCUGAAGCAGCUACAGUAGCCAGUGAGGUGCAGUGAUCUGUGCCACCCACCCACAAAUUGUAUUCAAGUGGCACCUAUAUAUGUCUAUCUGGCCUGUGAAGACAGUAGUGAUCUGUGACUCUAAUAGUGUUCCUGAACCAGCUACAGUAAUCAGUAAGGUGCAGUAAUCUGUGCCACCCACAAAGUGUAGUCAAGUGGCAUCUAUAUAUGCCUAUAGGGCCUGUGAAGACAGUAGUGAUCUGUGACUCUAAUAGUGUUCCUGAACCAGCUACAGUAGUCAGUAAGGUGCAGUAAUCUGUGCCACCCACAAAGUGUAGUCAAGUGGCAUCUAUAUAUGCCUAUAGGGUCUGUGAAGACAGUAGUGAUCUGUGACUCUAAUAGUGUUCCUGAACCAGCUACAGUAGUCAGUGAGGUGCAGUAAUCUGUGCCACCCACAAAGUGUAGUCGAGUGGCAUCUAUAUAUGCCUAUAGGGUCUGUGAACACAGUAGUGAAUAUACAGUAAUAGAUUUACACAAACACUUUCAGUUCUCAUUGUGCUGACUAGGGAUGAGCGAAUCAAAUCUGACGAAUCUGAAUUCAUUACGAAUUUCAGGAAAAAUUAGCUUUCCAACUAAUCUGAAUAUCGCCCCCGAUUGGAUCGCACAAAUCGCUUCAUUAAACUCCAUUUAGUGCAACCCAGGCUCCAGGGAAUCUAAAAUGGCGGAUCCACAUGUGAGGACAUGGGGAAAGGAACUCUGGGAAGGCGGCAAGACGGGACAUUAUCUUGCUAUUCACGACAGCCUUGUGGACGAGAGUCAUCGGUGAUCUGCACUCCAGGCGGUCCACAGAGUCUCUACAGGAAUCCAGCACAGAUGCUCUCUUGAUGCUUUAUCUCUUGCUCUGUUCACUUAAUACGUCUACUUCAGACUUUUAGCUAUAGAAUACACAGAGCUAAUUAGUGACAACACAGCAAGACAUUGUUUUGGAGGACUGCAAAGAGUGACAAACCAUUGAGACUGAAGGAGACAGACUAGCAAAAUGGACCACAACUUAAUCGUACGCUAUUGGAAUAUUUAUUAUAUGACUAAACUAUUAAACUUCUGUC